AACCUAGCACACCUGCGGUGUGUACCUGCGGAAGGAUCAUUAUCGUAGGGCUUCGGCCCUUUCGAGAUAGCACCCUUUGUCCCUUUUGGAGCACCAUUUCUGUUUCCUCGGCAGGUCCGCCCGCCACAUGAGGACCUCUUACAACCUUUUGCAUCGCCUGCAUCGUCUGAUCUCGAUUGAAUCAAUCACAACUUUCAACAAUGGAUCU
This 208-nucleotide unclassified non-coding RNA is filed under the name soil metagenome. RNAcentral's name for it is "partial contains 5.8S ribosomal RNA, internal transcribed spacer 2, and large subunit ribosomal RNA". The record is from RNAcentral.